CCUACGGGGAGCAGCAGUCGAGAAUCAUUCACAAUGGGGGAAACCCUGAUGGAGCGACGCCGCGUGGGGGAAUGAAGGUCUUCGGAUUGUAAACCCCUGUCAUGUGGGAGCAAAUUAAAAAGAUAGUACCACAAGAGGAAGAGACGGCUAACCCUGUGCCCGCAGCCGCGGUAAUACAGAGGUCUCAAGCGUUGUUCGGAAUCACUGGGCGUAAGGCGUGCGUAGGCUGUUUCGUAAGUCGUGUGUGAAAGGCGCGGGCUCAACCCGCGGACGGAAUAUGAUACUGCGAGACUAGAGUAAUGGAGGGGGAACCGGAAUUCUCGGUGUAGCAGUGAAAUGCGUAGAUAUCGAGAGGAACACUCGUGGCGAAGGCGGGUUCCUGGACAUUAACUGACGCUGAGGCACGAAGGCCAGGGGAGCGAAAGGGAUUAGAUACCCUAGUAGUC
RNAcentral lists this ribosomal RNA (446 nucleotides) under uncultured bacterium. RNAcentral describes it as "partial 16S ribosomal RNA". It matches the Rfam family "Bacterial small subunit ribosomal RNA", at positions 338 to 795 of the family's 1533-position model. The record is from RNAcentral.